UGCUUUAUUAAAUUAUCAAACGUUAUUUAUUAAUAGACAUGUUUGCAGAGGUAAUUUUGCUUUUAAUUGCAACAACAAUAAAGUCAGUCGUUUCUAAUGAACCUUUCUAUUGGAGAAUUUAUAAUGGUUCAAUGCCAAAUGAUGCAUUUCCAACCGGAACACGAAAUAUGUUUGUCGGUCGAGUAGGUAUAUGUUUAGUAUCCCAAACGAUUGAUAAAUUCAUGCUGGACCCUAGUAGUUGUUUCUUUACUAACAAGAGAAGUAACACAAUUGUGUCAGACCGAUUUCGAUGAAAUUUGGUACAGCCAUAGAAUGGACCACAAUAAGGUUUAUGUAUUUUUUUAUACAUGCGGUAAAAGCCCCUGAGCCAAGUCUAAGAAAGGUAGAAAAUUUGGGGAAAAAGUACAUUUUCGCUUAUAUUUCAAAAACGAAAAGUGCUAUCAAAGUUUGGUAAAUUGAAACUGAUGAAAUUUAAACUAUAAAUUUAACUUUAAUAUAACUACGUGAAAAAAUUAGUUUCUUAAUUUUAAAAUACGUUU
RNAcentral lists this unclassified non-coding RNA (539 nucleotides) under Onthophagus taurus. RNAcentral's name for it is "uncharacterized LOC111419603, transcript variant X3". Lineage: Eukaryota; Metazoa; Arthropoda; Insecta; Coleoptera; Scarabaeidae. The record is from RNAcentral.